AUAAAAGAGUUUAUGGCUCCUAUUUCCAAAAGCAGUCACUAGCUUUGUGUCUCUGUCUUUUUGGUGCCAAACUGUGAGAGUUUUUAAAGUUCUGGCAUGUGUGCAGAACAAAGACCAACUGUUCGCUGGUUUAACUGGUUUGACUUGUACACUGCUCUGUUGAAAAGGUGCCUUAGUGUGAAGUCUGCGUAGCACAGUGGAGAAGCAGAUGUUCCCUUCAUCCCUGUUGCCCAUCAGGGCUGGAUUUUAGAAGUGCCCCAGUCGAAGCCAACAGUGUUUGCACUGUCCAGCACCGCUGAGAGCUGGGCCAGGUGUUAGAUCAAAUGUCUGGAGCUGGGAGUGUAACAUUUUUUCAGAUGUGCUUCUCAGUGAUUUUUUUCCAGACAGAUGCGGGAAGUCUGUGGUAGAGCUGGGAACAGAGCCUGUUCCUGUGCUGCAGGAGGCUGUGUGUCUGACAAGACACAGGCACUGCCCUGCAAACUAAAUGUUGUGAUUUCAUGGUGGGAGCUGAACGGCACCCGGCAGUUGCAGCAGGGGAUUUUUCCAAGUUCCCAGGUUCACAGGAGUUUGCACCAUGGCUAAAAUCUCAAAACCUCAGAAACUGAGCAAGGAGAAGGCUGGUGCUUCGUUUUGGGCCAGUUGUGCCAGUGCAUCUUCCAAGAGAGUACUCGUGUUAGUGUGCAGCUCAGCUGGAGGAUGGCCUUGAUGGAGGUCAACCUGGCAGUGAGAUGCAGCACAGCAGAAUGCUGAUCUUAAUACCAGCUUUCACAGAAGAGUAUCUUACACCAGGACCAGUCUGUUGACUUCUAAACAACUCUCUGAACGCAGCACUGAGGCUGCCAGUGUCCUGCUGGUCCUUCCACACCUGGACAACGAGUAGGGUUGCGAUGGCCACAUUGUGUGUUGUGGGCAGGGUGGGCAGCUCCCUGCAGCUCUGUCUUUUCCUUGCUUGGAUGUGUGCACCUCCACAGCACAGAUUUUUCUGUCCUGCAGCUUGCGUGAGUUCACGUUCAAAGAUUACUUUCUCAAGACAUUCUAUUUGUUAAAAUGUGUUGCUUCCAUAGGUUGUGCCUGUUCUCAAGGAUACCACCCAAGGGCAAACACUUAGAGGGUGCAAAGCCAACAACACAAGUGCAGUUUCCAUGGGAAAUGCAGGCAGGUAUAGGUCUACCUGCAGUAAAAUGCCAGGCUCAGAGUAUCUGCUCCAUUCCCCUCUUCUGGGGUGUGCUGAGGAACACCCAUUUCCUACAGAGCAGUGAGGCUGCAGCUGAGCUCCCUACAAAGAGGAGUUAAAACCACAUCCCAAAGACGCCUCUGCCAGAACAGGUCAGUAAUUGCAGGUUUUCUUGAGUAACGAUUCAGUCAGGCUUAAUUUUCUUUUCAUAUCUGUUCUAAAAAAUGCUUGAUAUUGUGCUGCCCUUAGGUAAAGAGAAGAAUUUUAGUCUUAAAAGGGGGACUUAAACUCCAGGUCUUCCACUAAAUAAAAAGUGUAUUUGGUGAAACUACUUCCAUGGAAAGAGUUCACCGAAGAACAGAACGUUGAAAGUAUUUCAGCCAUCUGCCAUAGGAAGGAUGUGAAAAGCUGUCAGACCUUUCCUGCUGUGAAUAUGCAGGAUUUUCCCUAGCAGAAGGCUGAAUCUUCCACCUGAGAAUGAAGUCUCCAUUUUGUGAUCGAUAUUGCUGUCACUGAAACAUGUAACUGCAAAGGAGUUUGGGUGAAACUCUAGCCGAUCUGCGGCAGGGAGCAAUCGUGGGCUGGCAACAGGAUGGAAUCAGUGACCUAAUCAACCAUUUCCCCCUCUAAUUGCUGUGAUUCUAUGGUUUAAAGAAUUACACAAUGUGUAUUUUAGUUGGAACAAGACACUAUUAUUGAGUAAAGUGCAUAAUAAUUGUGUUUCAGGAGGUGAAAUAAAUGUCGAUCACCAGGCACUUUAAUCCAUCAUUGUACUUUGCUAAAUUACUUAAAUUGCACUACAUUCAAUACUAAAAUUACUUGUAAUAUAGUGAUUGCCGAACUGACACUCACAAAAAGAUGUCUAGCACCUACAUUUGUUUUCCUAAUUGACAAUUUUAGGCUUCAGUCUAGGGAGGGAGGAGUGCCCGCAGCCUUCACUUCAGUUGAUAGGAAUGGAGGGCACGUAGACCCACCUGUGCAGAAGCAGUCUCUUAGCAGCAAAGAAUCCUGCCUGCACAAAGUACUUCCAACUUCCGUUAGCUUUAGAGCCCUUGCUUAUGUCACUAGGAAGGUCCAUGUUGCCUACAUUUACAGAAACGUUAGAUUUUGACACAAGGCUUUUGUGUAAUCAUACUCCACUUGCGUAUAUUGCUCUGCAGCUUCUUCCCUAGCCAUUCACUAAUUAAUAUCCAUUUUGCAGACUUUGAGGUAAGUGGUUUGGUUGAGGAUCUACAGCAUGAUCCUCAACCAAAUGGUCCCAACUUGCUCCUGAGUGGGGAGCAAGACAAAUUCCUCGUGCUCAGUCUCCAGUGGCACUUUGGAGUUGACCCAUGACUUUUGUUGAUUCUUCUUCCUGGCGUCCUUCUGCUCUGCAGGAUUUUAGUUGAUAAAAAGCAAACGUAAAGGGAACUCUUGGUUUCAGUUCCUGAAUAUGACAUUUAGAUUCAGCCUACCUAGAAGAACAUUUUUUUUCUUCAUAUAGUACUCCGGAGGUGUUAACAAACUGUAUAAUUAACUGGUUCUGAGCUAAACUAGGUUUUUGUUUUUUUUUAAAACUUUAGCUAAUGUGUGUGGUUACGUGCCUGGGAGAGAACACAGAUGGUUUUUUCCCACAGGAUAAGCUAUACCCUUUUGCAAAGAAUGACACACAACAGAUUUGCAUCAUUAAAGAUCUUUGCUGGUGGCUGAACUGCUUUGCAUAUAAAUGAGACCUUACUUGAACAGUUCAGCUUGUGAAUGUGAGUGCUGGAUCAGGUCUCCGCUCACCACCAGCCUCAGAGGGAACUCUGCUCUGGGCUGCUAGAACACAGGUAGCAGGAAGUUUUAAACCAUCAUGUGAGCACAAAGGAGAGAAGCUGUUAGGAGAGUGUGUGUGGUGGGGGAUUUUCCCUCUGCACUGCCUCCCUGGCUCUGCUGUUCCCACACCACAACACCCAGCUCUGAGCAGGAUGAUGCUGGAAACAGAGAGCUGGUUAGCAGAGCCCAGAACACACCAGGACAUCCAUGACAUGGUCUCAGAAGACCCUGUGCCAGCUUCUAAAUUGUGGAGCGGGACUUGGCAGAGUGAAGCACAGCAGAGGUUUUGGACUGGAGCACUGAGAGCUUCCUCAUUUGUCAAGCAGCACCAAGCAGUUGAGAGAUGUCUUAGGAAUGGUGUAAACCUCUCCCCACAUUUCCAGAGUGCCUGAGGUCCUUUCAUGAAGAGGAUGAGAGAAGUGAGUGGGAUGGAGGGAGUUUCCUCUGGAAAGGGGAAUCCAGAAUGAGAAACACAUUCAGCCACUGCAAACAGCAAAAACACAUACGCUUUGACUGCAGGAGCCAGACCAUGCGUGCCUCACAUGUGCAGCUGCCCAGAUUUACGGCCUGUUAUCCUUCUGGCAAUUACUGGAUUGUACCGUGGGGAUCUGCAUGGGCGAUGCGCAGGUUGCCCACACAGCCUGGCCUUCUGAGAAAUGACACGGCGCGCGCCAUGUGCUGCGGCCAGCAGCAGCUGUGCUGGAAAACCACCACGGAGGAAAUCACAAGUUAGUGAGUCACCGAGACCGCUGCCAGCCUGUCAGGAGACUCUCCAUAACUCAGCUUUCAUGUGCUUGUGCUUCUGCUGUAAAGCAGGCUCAGAUGCCACCUUGAACAGCAGAGCAGCCGCUAGCAGGUGGGAAGAAAGUCCUGGUUUACGUUCUCCCAUCCCAAAUUUAGGUGAGUGCUGUGAAGCGAGCAGGCUCCCAGGCGGACUGCAGCAUAGCCAGCACACCCCUGAAAGUCAACAGAGAUGCCGCACGUGCCCCUAGCCCUGCCUGGUGCUGCCUGGGACGUGGCUGGGAGCACGCCGCUGCCACGGCACUUCUGGCCCGGCAUCAAUACUGAGGUCCUCCCAGAGCUGUUUAUAGCUCCAGUCCAGCUGUGAGAUCCAAGUGAUUCAGGCUUUAUCUUUGUGCGGGGAGAUCACUUGCAGCUGCUCUGGCCCGAGAGCACACUCCUAUGCUUAGGAUUUGCUUGCGUUUACACCAUUUACAUCUAUGAGAAGGGGGAGAAAAGCUGUUGAUACAGGUUUGUUAAGCAGGCAGCAGCUCUGUGGCAUAAAAUUCAGGCUCUUUUACGUCCAACCCACUGUCAGAAUACAGACCCCUGGGGAAAGGGCAGUGUUGUGCCCUGGGACACAGAGCUGGCAAGGCAGUGCUGCUGUCCCCCCACAAAACUGAUGCUUCUGGGCCUCCUGGGCCUCCCCAAGGCCACCCCUGCCUGCCCCCAACCCACGGCUUUAAAUGCUUCUCUUCCUUAAUCCCAAACAAGUGGGAGCAGGAUGCAGAGCAAACCAGUUCCAAACGCAUGUGCUGGGGGCUCUUGGCUGGGUCUUGUUCUCCUUAAAGCCAGAGGCAAAAUCCACAGGAGACGGAGGUGCUAAGAUACUCUCUGGCUGAGUAUCAGAUGCUAUUUUCCUUGGAAAUGCGAGGGGGUCCGUGAGGUGCAAUUUUGUCAGUGAGUGAGACCAGGUAUUUUCAACUUCAAAACAGACAAGAAAGUAGAAGCGUUUUCCAUGGAAACAUAGCUGGGUAAAGACUACAUUUGGGAUUUGUGCAUAUAAAUGCUUUUACUGCUUUCUUUAACAAAAACGGAGCAAUAACUCUUGCUUCGGGACUAGAAGAUUUUCAAGCAAUGAAAAUACUCCCUUAAAAUCUCCGUUUUAAAAGCAGCCUCUUCUGCGCUGAGUUUCUGGGUGACUUCUCGCCACAUUUUUUCGGCGGGGCCUGCACAGCACAUGUUCCCUCGCAGCAGCAGCAGGCGGAGUGCAGGCACUCGGGGCUGCCUGCUCUGCCCAGCGCUGCCGUCUCCAUCUUCAGACGUGCUCCCACCCGGAGCAGCGCUGCACGCUGCCUUCAGCAGGAGAUCCCCUGCGCUCUGCCUCUCGGCUGCUGACAAGCUCCGGCAGAUCACAGUGCCGGGAGAGGUGCUUGGGAGGCAGCUUGACAGCAGGGCAAAUCCUUAGCUAGCAAUAAUGCAUUCUUGCGUUUUUGUUCUUUGAUCAACCGUGCUUUGCAUUGACACUUGGACUUAACUCGCUUUAACUUCCACGUGCAAACUAGCUCGGAGCAGACAGGUCUCUCGGACUGUUUAAGGAUGCUUCCAGAUGAGUGUUGGUGUGUUGUGAUGAGGCAAAUCCCCCAUUUUCUAGCACCAGGGCAGCACUGCGCUUGCCUCAGCUCCUCAGCACCCUGUCUGCCAGAUAGCCCAAAGCUGCCCAAAACUCUGCGCAGAAUCCCAGCUUGAGCCCUCAAGUGUGAAAUGUUUGCUCUCUUCUCGGGCACAGCAAUGGGCAAACUUCCCUAGCAGUGUCCAAAAUGCUCAUGAAGUAUAAGGUGAUAUCUUCUCUCGGCAGCAGGAGCAGUGCUGGGUGGCACUGAGGUCGUAGUUUGUUCGGUGAAGGAGCAGCAUGGCCAAUGCUCACGGCGGCUGAAACUCUUCAUGAACUGGGAUUGCAUUCCGGGGGUAAUCUGGGAGGAAAAGAGACAGAGAAUGAAUGCGAAAAAGCCAGAGUCUAGCAGAUGGAUUUUGAAUUGAAAAAGUUCCCUGCAUUGUUUGGAGCUAGUGUUCCAACAUGGAAUUUGCUAUUUCUGAAGGAAUGAAUGAGUUUACUAUUUUUAAAAAAUAUGUAAGUGAAACACAUGAAAAGAAAACAAGCUCUUUUCUCUUGGAUUACAGCAAAUGUUCUGUUUGACCAGGUGUGGCUGAGGUUUUCUUACUUUAGUUUGUUCUGUUUGAUGCCUUGUUUUGGAAAGGAGAGAGGAAGAGGGAACGUUAAAAACGUUUAUGCUCAAUCCACCAAAAAGGAAUGUUUUCCAAGCUAAAAAAUGACCAUUUUCCGUCAGUCCCGGCUCUGACCUCUGAUCAGACACAGGGAUGUAGGACUCCUGUACACACAGUCGGUGGAAAGGGAGCUGGCUGCCACAUGUGAUCUCUGUGGCAGUCUCACCACAGCCUUGAAACAUCUCCCAGCUCUGUGUAGCCAUCAUUACUGCGCGCACUGCUCUGCCUGCCUGGGAGUUGUGCUGUUCCUGCAAAUUAGGGAUCCCUCUCUGCUCUGCUUGUGCUGCUCAGCAAGAGCCACCGACUGCUCGGGGGUGACCGCCUGUCAGCAGAGGUGGCAUCUGGAAACACACACAGGGAACAAGCUGUUCUCUGCAGGGCUUGGGUGGAAGCUGGGUGCCCUGGCACUCCGAGUCCUCCUCCUGCUUGGCUGCAGCCAGCAGCACAGGUGAUGCUGGUUAAGCACAUGACUUCUUGGUGUGAGUUAGGCUUGAUCUUCUUACUGAAUGCUUACACAGAUGUCCUCUGGGUCUCAUGAACACAUGUCUUCAAUUAAUUUUCACCAGCAGAGCUGAAGUUAAACACUCUUCCAGUUGGAAAAUGAGACGUCUGAUAUACUCCAAAGUGGCAGAUUUUCAGCCCUGCGCCCAUUCAGACUCCUAAGGGCAACUUUUCCAGUGUGCUGAGAGGCGGUUGCUGGGACAGCCAGCAUGGAGCUGUUUGCUUUUAGCACCCAGGGAGCAGAACAGGAUGGAAAACGUGCAUCCUGCUGGAGGAUUGCUCUCCUGGAGCAUCUUUGCCUGGAAACUGGCUUGACACAAAUAUCUGAAAAGAAGAAUUUCUCUCUAAAAGAUGCUUUGAAAAUAUAUGGAGCUAUGUGCCUCACACA
Long non-coding RNA from Numida meleagris (helmeted guineafowl), 6866 nucleotides. RefSeq lists it as uncharacterized. NCBI's taxonomy places the organism in Eukaryota, Metazoa, Chordata, Aves, Galliformes, Numididae. The transcript is spliced from 4 exons. The record is from RefSeq and is a predicted model, not a curated record.